CCUACGGGGAGCUGCAGUGGGGAAUAUUGGACAAUGGGGGGAACCCUGAUCCAGCGACGCCGCGUGAGUGAAGAAGCAUUUCGGUAUGUAAAGCUCUAUCAGCAGGGAAGAAAAUGACGGUACCUGACUAAGAAGCCCCGGCUAACUACGUGCCAGCAGCCGCGGUAAUACGUAGGGGGCAAGCGUUAUCCGGAUUUACUGGGUGUAAAGGGAGCGCAGACGGCAAUGCAAGUCUGAAGUGAAAGGCGUGGGCUCAACCCAUGAACUGCUUGGGAAACUGUAUAGCUUGAGUGUCGGAGGGGUAAGCGGAAUUCCUAGUGUAGCGGUGAAAUGCGUAGAUAUUAGGAGGAACACCGAAGGCGAAGGCAGCUUACUGGACGACAACUGACGUUGAGGCUCGAAGGCGUGGGGAGCAAACAGGAUUAGAUACCCUGGUAGUC
RNAcentral lists this ribosomal RNA (440 nucleotides) under uncultured Lachnospiraceae bacterium. RNAcentral describes it as "bacterial SSU rRNA". It matches the Rfam family "Bacterial small subunit ribosomal RNA", at positions 338 to 795 of the family's 1533-position model. Lineage: Bacteria; Bacillati; Bacillota; Clostridia; Lachnospirales; Lachnospiraceae. The record is from RNAcentral.